RNAcentral lists this transfer RNA (73 nucleotides) under Dermacentor silvarum. RNAcentral describes it as "transfer RNA tyrosine (anticodon GUA)". It matches the Rfam family "tRNA". Rfam says of the family: Transfer RNA (tRNA) molecules are approximately 80 nucleotides in length. Lineage: Eukaryota; Metazoa; Arthropoda; Arachnida; Ixodida; Ixodidae. The record is from RNAcentral.
CCGUCGGCAGCUCAGUUUGUAGAGCGGUGGACUGUAGAUCCAUAGGUCGCUGGUUCGAAUCCGGCUCGACGGA